GACGAACGCUGGCGGCGUGCUUAACACAUGCAAGUCGAACGGAAAGGCCCUGCUUUUGUGGGGUGCUCGAGUGGCGAACGGGUGAGUAACAAGUGAGUAACCUGCCCUUGACUUUGGGAUAACUUCAGGAAACUGGGGCUAAUACCGGAUAGGAGCUCCUGCUGCAUGGUGGGGGUUGGAAAGUUUCGGCGGUUGGGGAUGGACUCGCGGCUUAUCAGCUUGUUGGUGGGGUAGUGGCUUACCAAGGCUUUGACGGGUAGCCGGCCUGAGAGGGUGACCGGCCACAUUGGGACUGAGAUACGGCCCAGACUCCUACGGGAGGCAGCAGUGGGGAAUAUUGCACAAUGGGCGGAAGCCUGAUGCAGCAACGCCGCGUGCGGGAUGACGGCCUUCGGGUUGUAAACCGCUUUCGCCUGCGACGAAGCGUGAGUGACGGUAAUGGGUAAAGAAGCACCGGCUAACUACGUG
This 468-nucleotide ribosomal RNA is filed under the name uncultured bacterium. RNAcentral describes it as "partial 16S ribosomal RNA". It matches the Rfam family "Bacterial small subunit ribosomal RNA", at positions 28 to 507 of the family's 1533-position model. The record is from RNAcentral.